RNAcentral lists this small nucleolar RNA (93 nucleotides) under Ornithorhynchus anatinus (platypus). RNAcentral's name for it is "Small nucleolar RNA U83B (ENSOANG00000018728.2)". It matches the Rfam family "Small nucleolar RNA U83B". From Rfam's summary of the family: U83B belongs to the C/D family of snoRNAs. U83B like U83A has no documented RNA target and they share the same host gene with the C/D box snoRNA U43 (RPL3). Lineage: Eukaryota; Metazoa; Chordata; Mammalia; Monotremata; Ornithorhynchidae. The record is from Rfam by way of RNAcentral.
ACCGUUCAGUGAUGAGUCGCUGGAAGAAGCGCCGGGCACGGCGCCCGAAACGAAUGAGGAUACUCUCCUUGCUGCCUUCCUUCUGAGAACGGU